AAAAAGAUAGACUAAGACUAAGUCAUUAGAUUCAUAAUCUAAAUAUAUAUUUAAUAUUCUUUUUA
This 65-nucleotide transfer RNA is filed under the name Muscidifurax similadanacus. RNAcentral describes it as "tRNA-Met". The record is from RNAcentral. Lineage: Eukaryota; Metazoa; Arthropoda; Insecta; Hymenoptera; Pteromalidae.